Molecule: ribosomal RNA, 375 nt
Filed under: uncultured bacterium
Lineage: Bacteria
Description: bacterial SSU rRNA
Rfam family: Bacterial small subunit ribosomal RNA
Source: RNAcentral
UAAUACGUAGGGUGCAAGCGUUAAUCGGAAUUACUGGGCGUAAAGCGUGCGCAGGCGGUUGUGCAAGACAGAUGUGAAAUCCCCGGGCUUAACCUGGGAACUGCAUUUGUGACUGCACGGCUGGAGUGCGGCAGAGGGGGAUGGAAUUCCGCGUGUAGCAGUGAAAUGCGUAGAUAUGCUGAGGAACACCGAUGGCGAAGGCAAUCCCCUGGGCCUGCACUGACGCUCAUGCACGAAAGCGUGGGGAGCAAACAGGAUUAGAUACCCUGGUAGUCCACGCCCUAAACGAUGUCAACUGGUUGUUGGGGAUUCAUUUCCUCAGUAACGAAGCUAACGCGUGAAGUUGACCGCUUGGGGAGUACGGCCGCAAGGUUG